RNAcentral lists this ribosomal RNA (806 nucleotides) under uncultured Chromatiales bacterium. RNAcentral describes it as "bacterial SSU rRNA". It matches the Rfam family "Bacterial small subunit ribosomal RNA", at positions 8 to 796 of the family's 1533-position model. Lineage: Bacteria; Pseudomonadati; Pseudomonadota; Gammaproteobacteria; Chromatiales. The record is from RNAcentral.
AGAGUUUGAUCCUGGCUCAGAUUGAACGCUGGCGGCAUGCCUAACACAUGCAAGUCGAACGGUAACAGGCCGCAAGGUGCUGACGAGUGGCGGACGGGUGAGUAAUACGUAGGUAUCUGCCCUGUAGUGGGGGAUAACCCGGGGAAACUCGGGCUAAUACCGCAUACGCUCUUUUAUCGUUGAGAUAGGAGAGGAAAGCGAGGGACCGAAAGGCCUCGCGCUAGAGGAUGAGCCUACGCCCGAUUAGCUAGUUGGUAGGGUAAAGGCCUACCAAGGCGACGAUCGGUAGCUGGUCUGAGAGGAUGGCCAGCCACACUGGGACUGAGACACGGCCCAGACUCCUACGGGAGGCAGCAGUGGGGAAUAUUGGACAAUGGGGGAAACCCUGAUCCAGCGAUGCCGCGUGGGUGAAGAAGGCCUGCGGGUUGUAAAGCCCUUUCAGUGGGGAAGAAAAACGGGGUGUGAAAAGCGCUUCGUCUUGACGUUACCCACAGAAGAAGCACCGGCUAACUCCGUGCCAGCAGCCGCGGUAAUACGGAGGGUGCGAGCGUUAAUCGGAAUUACUGGGCGUAAAGGGCGCGUAGGCGGUUAGGUAAGUCGAGUGUGAAAGCCCUGGGCUUAACCUGGGAAUGGCAUUCGAGACUACCUAUCUAGAGUCUGGUAGAGGGAAGUGGAAUUUCCGGUGUAGCGGUGAAAUGUGUAGAUAUCGGAAGGAACACCAGUGGCGAAGGCGACUUCCUGGACCAAGACUGACGCUGAGGCGCGAAAGCGUGGGGAUCAAACAGGAUUAGAUACCCUAGUAGUCC